RNAcentral lists this ribosomal RNA (526 nucleotides) under Clostridioides difficile. RNAcentral's name for it is "bacterial SSU rRNA". It matches the Rfam family "Bacterial small subunit ribosomal RNA", at positions 1014 to 1533 of the family's 1533-position model. The record is from RNAcentral. Lineage: Bacteria; Bacillati; Bacillota; Clostridia; Peptostreptococcales; Peptostreptococcaceae.
UUCCCUUCGGGGACAUUGGUGACAGGUGGUGCAUGGUUGUCGUCAGCUCGUGUCGUGAGAUGUUGGGUUAAGUCCCGCAACGAGCGCAACCCUUGUCUUUAGUUGCCAUCAUUAAGUUGGGCACUCUAGAGAGACUGCCAGGGAUAACCUGGAGGAAGGUGGGGAUGACGUCAAAUCAUCAUGCCCCUUAUGCUUAGGGCUACACACGUGCUACAAUGGGUAGUACAGAGGGUUGCCAAGCCGUAAGGUGGAGCUAAUCCCUUAAAGCUACUCUCAGUUCGGAUUGUAGGCUGAAACUCGCCUACAUGAAGCUGGAGUUACUAGUAAUCGCAGAUCAGAAUGCUGCGGUGAAUGCGUUCCCGGGUCUUGUACACACCGCCCGUCACACCACGGGAGUUGGAGACGCCCGAAGCCGAUUAUCUAACCUUUUGGAAGAAGGCGUCGAAGGUGGAAUCAAUAACUGGGGUGAAGUCGUAACAAGGUAGCCGUAUCGGAAGGUGCGGCUGGAUCACCUCCUUUCUAAGGA